Long non-coding RNA from Sparus aurata (gilthead seabream), 1768 nucleotides. The record is from Ensembl. NCBI's taxonomy places the organism in Eukaryota, Metazoa, Chordata, Actinopteri, Spariformes, Sparidae.
AUGAAUGUCUGCUGCCGUCAUUUCUCCUUAAUCACAAUUUCACUAACUUAUGUUUUGAGAACUGAAGUAACAAACAGAGCAGAGACAUCAGAAAGUUCAGACCAUCGUGUGAAUACUGAAAUGUUGAAGUUACAGCUGAAAGUGAGAGCAGAAAUAAACACAUUUGCUGAUUUCACCACAUCUCCACAAUGCAAAUCAAAUGAAAGUCAACUGGAAGAGAAGUUAUGUCAUCGGUUAUCUUCCAGGUCACCACGGUGGGGAGGUCGCUGUGUGACUAAGGCAGCACUUUGCGAUGCCUCGACCUGCUCAGUCGUCCUCCUGGAUCCACACACUUCACAUACUGUUUGUGUCAGAUAUUCUGUCAGUGGGAGAGAGAACCCGCCUCUAUGGCUCUUCCUGAGAUGAGCGAUAUAUUCGUCAACAGCUACGAGGGAGGAGCAUGAGAGUAUUGAGAUGCACCCACAGCUGCUCAUCCAGGUGCCUCCACCCACCUGCCCUCCUGCUGCGCACCAACCAUCCAUCCUCUAGCACGACUGACUUCCUCCUCGACUUAUUCACAAUCCCCCCCUUUCUCACUCUGUCAUUAACACACACACACGCAGACACACAAACACUGAUACAUCCCCUCGCUACCCAUCAGUCCAUCCGGUCCCAGAGGUGUCGGCCAUCAAUGUCUGUCGUAGGCGUUUCCCCAGCAACCGCAGCCUCCCCUUGUCAGACUUGAGAGAGUGCUUUUUUUCUUUUUUGCUAUUUGUUUGGUUUCUGGAGGAUUAAUGGUCACACGUUAUCGUGUGUGCAUGCAGACGGGGGUGAGAGGACACGUCGACGCAUGAAAACGUAACACAACAAAUUAAAUUCUCUGUGCAAUUAAGCUUCUAUAAAAGGAUGCAAACUCCUCGUGACAUCCGAGUGUCACGGGGAAACACGCUCCCCAGUUAAUUUGUCUGAUGGAAAAUACAGACUGAAUCCUCGCAUGCAUAUUUCUGAGGAUCAUUCGCAUUAUUUUACAUACCAAUAUUCCAUGUAGCGCCGCUAUACUGCAAGGGAUCUAUUUUGCAAUCAUGGAUAAUUCAUGAUCUGCACACAGACGCUGCGUAUGAAAAUCCUUUGAAGGCGGGUGUGGGACUGAGGGAAAUUCCCCUUUCUUCCACUUGCCUUCACUUUGUAAAGGCCGAGCUUCUUGUUUCAGCGCCUGUGAAUUCACACAGUGAGGUAAUGUUCCUCUGGACCAGGUAGUGUGACUCACCUGUGGUGAGGAGGGAAAUAUCAGCUCCCUGUAUUGGAUUUACAGCAUUCUGUUGUAGUUUCAUUACAGACAUGUAAUGACUUGUACAGUUUAAAUGAUCUCUGACGGACAGAAUUGUUGCCUGACGAACAAAGAAUUGCGUUUACACGCACAACACUGUCCUGAUAAUGAUCAGGAGUAUUGAUCUCAUGAAGUGCUCAGAUUCCUGACUACACUGGAAGAGGGAGCGUGUCAAAUUGUGUCGACAUGUACUGCUUGAUCACCUCGCAGUCUUAUUUUCAUGAAACAUCUGACCAGUUUUCAAAAAAGAUAAUUUACAGCGUGAUGUUCUGACAGAGCUGGAAGAACAUGAAGCUGGAGAAUCUGUGGGAUCAGCUGGUCGUGUUUCUGUUGUUAAUGUCUGUGGCGGCUGCUCAGAAUGUGUUUUCUAUUUGUGGUUUUGAUAUGUUUAUAGAAAUAUAAUAACCUCAUAGAAUUUUGUCCAAGUUGCUGUGUGUUAAUACAAGUGGAAGAUGAAAAGAG